RNAcentral lists this ribosomal RNA (1947 nucleotides) under Dactylomonas venusta. RNAcentral describes it as "partial small subunit ribosomal RNA". It matches the Rfam family "Eukaryotic small subunit ribosomal RNA". Lineage: Eukaryota; Heterolobosea; Selenaionea; Selenaionida; Selenaionidae. The record is from RNAcentral.
AAUGUCAGAGCAAUUUCGUGUUACGACAUUUUAAUCUGUGGAUGGCUCAUUAUAAAAGUGGUAAUAUAAAUAAUCCACUAAAGUUAAAGGGAUAACCGCACCAACGGUGUGGAUAAUACCUGAAAACUCAGUCAUACUGAAAUCGGUCUGGAUAAUUUGAUGAUCAAACCAGAUCGGAGAUUCUUUUGGGCAACCAAAAGGAUCUGAAGACCAUAUCGACACAUACGUGAUAAAAAAGGUAAUUCUCUUUAUGGGGAUUGCUAAAAUAUGGUGGAUCUUAUUAGUCGCUUAUCUAUCAGCUUUGGUUGUAAGUUCAUUGUACUUACAAGGCAGCAACGGAUACGGAAGACAAGUGUCUGACUCCGGAGAAGGAGCCAGAGUAAAGGCUACUACAUCUAAGGACGGCAGCAGGCGCGUAAAUUGCCCAAUCUCAAUUUGAGGAGGCAGUGAAGAGAAAUAUUGACUAUUAACUAACCGUUAAUAGGUAUGUUACAUAAUAAAUGCGUGUAGUUUAUAUCACUAUACUAGAAGCUAUUGGAGGGCAAGUCUGGUGCCAGCAGCCGCGGUAAUACCAGCUCCAAGAGCGUAUUUUAAUAUUGAUGCGUUUAAAACGUCCGUAGCUGACCUAAUAUCAAGUUUUGUGGGGACUGUUAGUGACUCAGCUUAUUUUGAAUGAUCUAAAAUUUGUUUAACGUGUAGUUGAGAAUAUUAAGGUUCGCUUUAAUAUUCUCUCAGGGAAACUUUCCUAGGCUUACAAUUACUGUUGAAUGUGGAAGUGAGUUCGCUCAUGGAAACAUUUAACUCUUUGUGGUAAUUCUCAUUGAAAUUUUAUGCUAUUUAUGGUUCAUAAAUCGUUUGGGGACUGUGAAAAAAUCAGAGUGCUUAAGGCUUUGUAAUGUUCGUGACUUCGGUUAUGGUGCAAGUAUGUUCAAGCAUGGUAUCCUACUAUAUUCCGCAAGGGAUAAUCAGAAAUGAAAGUGAUGGAAGAUGUAUGUACUAUAUGGAAAGAGGUGAAAUUCAAUAACCCAUGUAAGACGCCCUAAGGCGCAAGCAUUUGUCUAUGUCAUCUUUAUCAGUGAGGGUCGAUAGCCAGGGGAGCGAAGAUGAUCAGAUACCAUCGUAGUCCUGGCUGUAAACCUUACCAUCGAGAGGUCGAGUUGAGACUCCUCGAUUGAUCUUCCCGGAAUCUAAAAGAAAUCGUAAGUUUUUAGGUUACGGGGGGAGUAUGGUCGCAAGGCUGAAACUUAAAAGAAUUGACGGAAGGGCACCACCAGGAGUGGAAUCUGCGGCUUAAUUCGACUCAACACGGGAAAACUCACCAGGUCCAACAAUUGGAUGAUUGUCAGGCUAACGACCUUACUUGAUUAUUUGAAUGGUAGUGCAUGGUCGUUCUUAGUUCGUGGAAUGGUCUGUCAGGUUAAUUCCGAUAACGCACAAGACUUUGGCCCUUAGUUACCACAUCAUUUCUCAUGUUGCUCUAUUUUCGGCCGCAAGCCCUUAAUAGUUUGGUAAAUAAAUGGACUGCCAGCACUUUAGCUGGAGGAAGGACAAGGCUAUAACAGGUCUGUGAUGCUCUUAGAUGUUCUGGGCAGCACGCGUAUUACAAUAAUUAAUACUAUGGGUUAAUUUUUAUUUAAGGUUUUUAUUUUAAAUAAAAUGUCCAACUUUAUAAUUUGAAUUUUUAAUUUGAAUUUUUAAAUAAAGAAGGGAAUCCCUCAAUAUUUUUGUUUUGACUGGGAUUGUCGAUUGUAAUUUCGACAUAAACGAGGAAUUCCUAGUAGGUAUGUGUCAUCAUCACAUGCCGAUUAUGUCCCUGCCCUUUGUACACACCGCCCGUCGCUCCUACCGAUGGAGCUCAAUGGCGAAGAACAUGGAGUUGGGGUUAAACUUAAUAAAAUGUUCUGAACCUUUUUGCUUGUAGGAAGGAGAAGUCGUAACAAGGUCUUC